GAACCGUCCAAACGUUAUUCGGAAUCACUGGGCUUAAAGGGUGCGUAGGCGGCUUGGCAAGUUGGGUUGUGAAAGCCCUCGGCUCAACCGAGGAAUUGCGCCCAAAACUGCCUUGGAUAGAGUGAGAUAGAGGUGAGCGGAACUUAUGGUGGAGCGGUGAAAUGCGUUGAUAUCAUAAGGAACGCCAGUGGCGAAAGCGGCUCACUGGAUCUCUACUGACGCUGAGGCACGAAAGCUAGGGGUAGCGAACAGGAUUAGAUACCCUGGUAGUCCUAGCUGUAAACGAUGAGCACUGGGUUGGAGGCUCCUCCAUAGGCUUCCGGCCGAAGCGAAAGUGUUAAGUGCUCCGCCUGGGAGUAUGGUCGCAAGGCUG
RNAcentral lists this ribosomal RNA (373 nucleotides) under uncultured organism. RNAcentral's name for it is "partial 16S ribosomal RNA". It matches the Rfam family "Bacterial small subunit ribosomal RNA", at positions 527 to 896 of the family's 1533-position model. The record is from RNAcentral.